AAUAGGGGGGGCUAAUCAUGCAAGUCGAGCGGUAGCACAAAGGAGCUUGCUCCUUGGGUGACGAGCGGCGGACGGGUGAGUAAUGUCUGGGAAACUGCCUGAUGGAGGGGGAUAACUACUGGGAACGGUAGCUAAUACCGCAUAACGUCGCAAGACCAAAGAGGGGGACCUUCGGGCCUCUUGCCAUCGGAUGUGCCCAGAUGGGAUUAGCUAGUAGGUGAGGUAAAGGCUCACCUAGGCGACGAUCCCUAGCUGGUCUGAGAGGAUGACCAGCCACACUGGAACUGAGACACGGUCCAGACUCCUACGGGAGGCAGCAGUGGGGAAUAUUGCACAAUGGGCGCAAGCCUGAUGCAGCCAUGCCGCGUGUGUGAAGAACGCCUUCGGGUUGUAAAGCACUUUCAGCGGGGAGGAAGGGAGCAGGCUUAAUACGUCUGUUCAUUGACGUUACCCGCAGAAGAAGCACCGGCUAACUCCGUGCCAGCAUCCGCGGUAAUACGGAGGGUGCAAGCGUUAAUCGGAAUGACUGGGCGUAAAGCGCACGCAGGCGGUCUGUUAAGUUGGAUGUGAAAUCCCCGGGCUUAACCUGGGAACUGCAUUCAAAACUGACAGGCUAGAGUCUCGUAGAGGGGGGUAGAAUUCCAGGUGUAGCGGUGAAAUGCGUAGAGAUCUGGAGGAAUACCGGUGGCGAAGGCUGCCGCCUGGACGAAGACUGACGCUCAGGUGCGAAAGCUUGGGGAGCAAGCAGGAUUAGAUACCCUGGUAGUCCACGCUGUAAACGAUGUCGAUUUGGAGGUUGUGGUCUUGAACCGUGGCUUCCGGAGCUAACGCGUUAAAUCGACCGCCUGGGGAGUACGGCCGCAAGGUUAAAACUCAAAUGAAUUGACGGGGGCCCGCACAAGCGGUGGAGCAUGUGGUUUAAUUCGAUGCAACGCUAAGAACCUUACCUACUCUUGACAUCCAGAGAAGACUGCAGAGAUGCGGUUGUGCCUUCGGGAGCUCUGAGACAGGUGCUGCAUGGCUGUCGUCAGCUCGUGUUGUGAAAUGUUGGGUUAAGUCCCGCAACGAGCGCAACCCUUAUCCUUUGUUGCCAGCACUUCGGGUGGGAACUCAAGGGAGACUGCCGGUGAUAAACCGGAGGAAGGUGGGGAUGACGUCAAGUCAUCAUGGCCCUUACGAGUAGGGCUACACACGUGCUACAAUGGCGUAUACAAAGAGAAGCGACCUCGCGAGAGCAAGCGGACCUCAUAAAGUACGUCGUAGUCCGGAUUGGAGUCUGCAACUCGACUCCAUGAAGUCGGAAUCGCUAGUAAUCGUAGAUCAGAAUGCUACGGUGAAUACGUUCCCGGGCCUUGUACACACCGCCCGUCACACCAUGGGAGUGGGUUGCAAAAGAAGUAGGUAGCUUAACCUUCGGGAGGGCGCUACCCACUUUUUGUUU
This 1441-nucleotide ribosomal RNA is filed under the name Dickeya chrysanthemi. Its description in RNAcentral is "bacterial SSU rRNA". It matches the Rfam family "Bacterial small subunit ribosomal RNA". The record is from RNAcentral. Lineage: Bacteria; Pseudomonadati; Pseudomonadota; Gammaproteobacteria; Enterobacterales; Pectobacteriaceae.